UGGAAUAAAAAGAAGAUUUCAUUCAUUUAUUGGAAAUUUAUGGUAAAGUGCAUAUUGCUUGAGAUGCAAAUCAAAAGAAUGAAUUACAAGGAAAAAAGGGUUUAAAAAAAUAUAUCUUUUUAGUACAAUUGACUUUUCGGUCAAACCGUUGACUUUUUGUUAACUGUUGACCAUUGACUCGAUUUUGACUCCUGGAUUUCUUAGACCUAUUUUACAAGAAUUUGAUCAAAGGAUUCAUCAUUUUUCAUCAAAAAUGACUUAUGUCAUGAUUAUGUUACAAAUGCUAAUUUUCAACAAAUUAUAUCUUCCAUCAAGCUUCACUUCCAUGGCUUGUUCUUCACUUUCCAAUGUUGCUUCAAGUUCAUUCUUUCACUUCAAUGCUCACUUUGCUACAAAUAAAAUUUGGAUCAAGUUAGUCUCCAUGAAUCAUAAGCGAAAGUCAUCAAAAAGAAAUAAAAAAGUCAUGAAGAACUCAAGAAAACUUAGAAAAAUUAUGCACUAUGUAGGAAUUUCAAGACUUGUCUUUCAACACUUUCCAACCUUGAUUCAUACAAAAAAAAUAAUCAUAAUUAGAUCCAUAAAUUUACACCAUUCAAAAGUGCACUUUUUCAACACAAAAUCACUUCUCAAAAGCACUUAAAGUCAUGGGAUAAUUCACCAAAAAUUUAUGGCAAAAGUGACAAAAAAUCAAAGGCAAAAUCAUUCAAAAAUUCUAAGUUUCAUGCAUAAUCACUAAUGACCUUUUGCCUUACAUUCCAACUUUGUACUUUUGCAAAAACCAAACAUCAUUUGUCUCUAACUAUCUAUGCAUUCACAAAACCCUCAAUUACACAAUUAACCAUUAACUACCAUAACUACCAAACUAACAUAAAUUCUACCACACUAACACAAAAUCCAAUUUCCAUUUUCAAUCAAAUUUUCAUUCAAUCUUAAUCAUUCAUAAUAAUUAAUCCAAUGAUUGAGAUUAGUUUUCCACAACUAAAACUUAAAUAAAUUCCCAAUCAUUGAUAAAUCUCUUACUUGGAUCAUAACCCAAGUGUCCUCAUUCAACCACAAAAAUUAUAAAAACCUAUUAUUUUUCAUCACUCUAAAACCAUGAAUUCAUAGUAAUUAUUAUGUCAAAAUUCUUCACCAUCACCUAAAGCUCAUAAACCAAGUUGAUGGAGUUUCAUCACUUAAAACUCCAUUCAAUUGAGCAUAAACUCUCCAUCAUUUUCCAUCACUUUUACCAUUAUUCAUCUUCUUCCUCAUGCUUCCAUAAUCACUAUUUUACAAAAACCACAAAAUCUCAUUUCACCAAUUUUCAUUUUCCAACCUACACCAUAAUCAAACUUCAAGUCAAAACCUUCAACCAUGAACCAAUCUUCGUCUUCUCCAUAAUCACAAAAAUCACAAAUUCACCAAGCUUCAAGCAUAGUCAUCUUCAUCUCCAUCAUCACCUUCAAAAAUUCAAAACCACAACAACAACAUUCAAAAUUCAGCAUCAUCAAAUCACAAAGCCAGAAGAAAAAAAGGGAAGAAAAAGAUUGGUAUAAGCAUUUAAUUGAACACGUGGUGAGCAAGUUACGAAACGAUGAUAACCACAAUGCUACAACCAAUUCACAAACUGCAAUUUGAACAACAAAUCAUAGAAAUUCAUCAUCAUCAAAUCAUAAAGCAAGAAGAAAAAAAGAAGAAAAGAGUCGGUUGAGACAUUUUGUCGAGCACCUUGCGAGCAAGAACAGAACUUCGCAUUUCCUCCAUUUUUACCGGUAAUCUUUCAUACAAUUCUAUUAUUUUAUGAGAUAUUC
Molecule: long non-coding RNA, 1790 nt
Filed under: Lathyrus oleraceus (garden pea)
Lineage: Eukaryota; Viridiplantae; Streptophyta; Magnoliopsida; Fabales; Fabaceae
Description: Pisum sativum (pea) long non-coding RNA (PSAT_LNC035392)
Source: RNAcentral